CGAGUGACACAGCAGUGAGAAAUGCCUAUCAGUAACUUAAACCCCCGAAACUCCACCUUCCGGGCGCGCGGCGCGGAGCCGGGCGGUGGGAAUGGAGCGAGCAGAUUGAGGCCGCCACUGCAGCGCCGCCAGCAUGAACUUGGCCGCGAGCUGAAGCGACGGGCGGCGGGCGGGCGCGGGGGCACCGGCCGCUAGCCAGGGGGUGAUCUUCAAUCCGGCUGGGCCAUUAGGCGGGCGCCUGGGUAGGCUGCCCGUGCCGGCGGCCGCCCGCCCCUCUGGCUCUGCCCUGGCUGCUGCUGGAGCUCCGCAACACGCCCUGUGUCUAGGUCGUUUGGAAAACGCCUUGGAGAGUCAAGAAUAAAAUUGCAGGUCAAACAAUGGAUGACUGGAAAAGUCGGCUUGUAAUCGAGAACAUGCUUCCCCAUUUCAACAUGGUGGGAAAUCGUCAGGAGACCAGAAAGCUCCAGGAAUCGGGAACCAGUAAGAGAAGACAGGAAGGAGAGAACUUCCACUUCACAGGCAUGGCUGAUGGGAGCUAUCCUAAUAAAAUCAAGAGACCUUGCCUUGAAGAUGUCACCCUGUCUAUGGGCCCAGGUGCCCACCCUACUUCUCUCUCUACAGAGAUGCAGAUGCCCACAUUAAACAUGAAUCCCACUUCUGCAGACCUGGGAGUGGCUGGCCAAUCAUUACUCCUUGAGAACAACCCUCUGGACAGUAAUGUUGUGAAUAGCAGUGCUAUGGGCUCACCAUUUGGGGUGCCAUCAACUGCAGACACGGGGCUGAAAGGACAUGCUGUUCCUUACUAUGAGAAAAACAACAGUAUGCCAGCUGUAGACCAAGAGCUUCAAGAUCUGCUGGAGGAACUAACCAAAAUUCAAGAACCUUCUUCAAAUGAUCUUGACCUUGAGAAGAUUCUGGGGAGCAAGCCAGAAGAACCUCUGGUUUUACAUAACCCCCAGGCCCCUCUUGGUCCCCCUGCCAAGCUUCCAGUUCAGAUGCCACAUAUGGAAAGCCUUGGAUCCAGCAAGGAGUUUGCAUCUAGCUGCAGUCAAGUUGCUGGCACAUCACUACCCAUCAUGCCCUCCUCCACAGGGAUGAGCUACUCCAUUCCUUCCAGCAGUAAGCAGAUAGUCUCAUCCAGUUCUUCAACAGCACAGGCUCAGGUCAAAAACCAGGUCCAGAACAUGCUCCCUGUCACUAUGCCUCCAUUAUCUGUGCCUCAGUGGCAUCAUGCCCACCAGCUGAAAGCACUGGCAGCCAGCAAGCAGGGAUCUGCUACAAAACAAGGUUCCAACCGCAAUUGGUCCAGUUUGCCUCCUCCGGGUCUUUCUCCACCUUACCUUCCAGUGCCAUCUCCUCACCCACCACCACCACAACCACCACCACCACCAUUCAGCCCACAGAACUUCACAGCAUCCUGCAUGUCAUCCAGUAGCUUAUCUGGCAGUGCUGUGCAAAGCUCGCCCAAUGCCUUACUUUCCAGCAUGGCCCCCAGCAGCAAUGCUUCCCUUGGGCCCACCUUGCCCUAUGUUCCAGCAAAGCUCCCGGGCUUGCCUCUCAAUCAGCAACCACAAUUCAGCCCCCAGAGCUCCAUUCUUGCCAAUCUGGUGUCCUCUAGUGUCAAAAGCCCUCAAGGACACCUGAUAUCUGCUCUGCCUACCAGCACCCCAGGGCCAUCCCCACCAUACCGCCCUGAGAAUCUCUCCAGCCCCGGCUUGCCACAGCAGUCCUUCACUCCACAAUACUCUCUGAUCAGGAGCCUCACUCCCACCAGCAAUCUGCUAAGCCAGCAGCAGCAACAACAGCAACAGCAGCAGCAGCAGCAGCAGCAGCAGCAGCAGCAGCAACAGCAGCAGCAGCAUCAGGCAAAUUCCAUCUUUAAGCCUAUGACCAGCAGCCAGCAACCUAAAACCUUGAGCAUGAUCAUGCAGCAGGGCCUAUCAAGUUCCAGUCCAGAAGCACCUGAGCCCUUUACCUUCAGCAACACCAAGCCCUUGUCACAUUUUGUUUCUGAGCCAAGCCCCCAGAAGAUGGCCUCCAUGUCUACCCACUCCAGGCAGUCAUCUUUGCUCCACUACCUGCCUCAGGCAACACCAGCACAUGCUCCUUCUGCCACUGCCUCCUCCACUGCCACUGCCACUUUGCAACUCCAGCAUCAUCAUCAACAGCAUCAUCAUCAACAGCAUCAUCAUCAACAGCAGCAUCAUCAACAACAGCAUCAUCAACAGCAUCAUCAUCAACAGCAGCAGCAUCAACAGCAGCAGCAUCAACAACAACAGCAGCAGCAACCUGAUCAGUCUUCAUUCCUUCUGCAGCAGAUAAUGCAGCAACCCCAGCGCUUUCAGCGCAUGAUGGCUUCUGAUUCUAUGCCUGCUCUGCCUGGACAGGGCUGUUGCCAUCGCUGUGCGUGGACUUCUACGGCUCUCUGGCUGGAGCACCAGCAUCAGCAGUGGAACUCUCUCACUAGCACUCAUGGACAUGUGCCACCAUCUAACCUUGAGUGAAUAUUCCCCUUUCCAUUGGGCUUCUGGGUGAGCACAGCAGACUACUUAUAGCUCAAGGAUGAAAAACAAGAGACACUACUUGACACAGAAAAAAAAAGACCACUCCCCAUUAUGCCGGCUUCCCCCCUCCUUUGAGACAUAGCUGCUGCUAGAUGCUUGUGUGCUUGUUAGGGAGACAAGGCUCUACGGCCACCUCCUUGAAGUUGGGAAGCUUUUGCCAAUGUGGGCAUCAGAAUAAGGUUAUUUUCAUUGCUGUAUCUGAAGGAACUGGAUCAUGCAUUUCACACACUCAGAAACAGUGAAAUCCCUGACACAUAAAACAGGAUGGCAAGGAAUGCCCACACUAGCCCCAAAAACCUUAAUACCUUGCCGGGAUCUGAUGCAGUGAGGACUGCAGCUCAGGAUGUAGCUGAGAGGAGGAGGCACAGGUUUGGCUGGUUUUACACUCACCUCAGCAUAUCUACACACUAGUGCCUACAAGCCAUGGUAAAUUGUGUGCUCUGUUAUGAAGGUUGGGUAGGGGUGGGAGGGAUUUGAAGGUGCCAAAGUCACUGUCAAUAAAUCAGCUAUCUGACUUAGCUUUAUUCCUGCUUUUAACAAGUCAGUAUUGCUUAAGGCAGGACAUCACUCACACGAAACCCUUUUAUGGGCAUUAAGUAUUCUCCCAAAUCAACCAAAAUGCAUUUUUUUAAAAAAGCAUUGGUACUAUGGAGGGUGGGGGGGAGAGAUGUCACAAGGUAAGUACGUUUUCUAUGGAGAGAUACCAUACCUUCCAACUGAUCUUAAAAGGAGUCUGUGACCCAUAGCAAGCUAAGAGCACAAAGAUACUUGGUUUUGCUUGCCCCAGACCAGUUGAUGUAUAUAACCACAACACUUAAAGAUUCCAAUUAGUUGGUCAGGGCAGUGACAAAAUCAGUCAGAAGCCUUUUGUGGCCAAACAGCUGAUAGAUUGUUCAAUCGGUUGUUGUAGACUCAUGUAGACAAAGCCUGCAAGCUUGGGGAAGCCAGGCCUCCCCAUGUCAGCCUGGGGCGACAGCCCCCAUCCCGCCAGGCCCUGGGGAGUGAGUCCUUCCUGCCCGGCAGCUCCUUUGCUCAUGAGCUGGCCCGAGUCACAUCCACCUCCUCGUACAACACCUCAGAGGCAGCCCCCUGGGGCGGCUGGGAUCCGAAGGCCUGGAGGCAGGUGCCUGCUCCACUACUGCCUAGCUGCGAUGCUGCAGCCAGAGAAGCAGAGAUCAGGUCCUAUGGCAAUGACCCCUAAACAGCAGAAUGUGUGUAUCGCUCAGCAGAUGACUCAAUUUCAAGCAGUACAAGAACAAGUCAUCUCCAAGUGUAAUCAAACCAAGAAGAGUCCCCCAUCCAACCAGCAAAAGAUGCCACCCAAAAAUGAGCUCCUUCAGGACAAUCAGAUUCCAAGAAUAUUACCACCCACAAGUCACAUGGGUCAUCAACUCUGAAGAAGCAGCAAAUCAACACCGGCCUUCCAUUUCCCAUCUCCUCAGGCUUGGGUCAGGAUCCCCUGAAUAGUCUUGGCUCUGUCUGUCCCAAAGCCAAGGCCAUACCCUUAGAAGUGCCCCUGUCCAAGCUCUGUAUAAGUCUCCUGGGCAGCCAAUCCUUGACUCCCCACCAACUCAGUCUCCCCAGUGUGCCAAUGAUGUCUUCAGUGUUCAGUAAUGCAGUCUGGACAGUGGCAGCUGCAGCUGUAGCCACGCCAGUUUCAAAGGAAUCACCCCUGAGCCAAGUAGAUAAUAGAAUUGUGCCGCAUUUUGAUAGCAACUCCAUCAUCUUUGCCAAGGCACCCAGGAGUAUACAUACCCCCAACAGAUCUAGUAUUUCCGUCUCAGAAGGUUGUGGUUCAGGCCAAUCAGAUGGCCCCAGGAGCCAGGCCUGGCCAGAAGGUGUGUGCUGCUCUGGCCAGCCACAGAUUCAGCCUACUGGGCAAUCAGAACCUUGUGCAGAACCCAGCACAGGGGCCCGUGCCUGUGUUGAGCACCAAGUCCCUCCAACAGAGCAUAGCCAGCUGCUCUCCCAUGAGUCCUAUUCAGGGACUAGAGCCUCCAAGCUAUGCAGCUGCUACUGCUGCUACUAGCCAGUCCCUAGGUACAUUGAUUAGAAUGGGCACAUCCCCUGAGACACAGGACAAUGUCUGAUUUCACCAUCAUCUGCAGGCAGUGAGGUGGAUUUCAUGGAAGAGCUUUUGGAAGGCUCCAGUGUGGCCCCAGAUGAAGACUGGGUGUGCAACUUGAGGCUGAUAGAUGACAUUUUGGAGCAGCAUGCUGCUGCCCAAAAUGCUACAGCCCAGAAUGCUGACCAAGUCACCCAGGGUGCUGAGGAGCUAUACAUCAAAGUAGGGUGCUCCAGAAAAGCCCCAUACUGUCACUCAAAGGAGUGGCCUGAAUCUGCAGCCAGCUUGAAACUGGCCCCAGACACCCACACUAGGGUCCUAGUCUGAAUCGUAUCAGCCCUGCCCGUCCCUUUAUCUACCUGAUAAACAAAAAGCUGGUGAUUUUUCAAGCUACUUGUACAUAUUUGAAAAUUUUGUAAAUGGUUUUCCUAAUCAUAAAUGACAGAAGUAUUUAUACUUGGUUUUGUGGCUUUGUAAAUAAAGUGGCAGCUUUGGUUUCAAUAGAGUUGUGUUUAUUAUACAUUGUUCCAAAUAUGCAGACUGUGUUGUUCGCUCCAGUGAUAACCUUGUUAAACCAGGUGGCUGAGUCACUGAGGUUUUCAUGCCACGAGAGACGUGGAUGUGACCAAGGGGUGUUGUGCAAACUGACAAAUGCCAAAUAGAAAGCCACUUGGUCAUUAAUUUCCACUCCAUUACAAACUGUACUACCCAAUGUGACUCUUAGUCUUUUGCAAGCCUUUAAGUCUCAGCUAGUUCUUUCCUAAUGAACAUUUACAGCAAAAGUCACCGUAUGGUAUCUUGUCCCACAGACACACUCAUGGGAGGCCAAGAGUGUCCUUUAGGUUUGGUUAAGAGAGGUGCAGAAAUAGCCUGUGAGCUGAGCACUGUGUGAGCUGGCCACCUUGAGGAACUAGAGCGUUCCCUUCCCUUUGUCACCUAUGGUGACCUUCAGCUGCAGAGAAAGCCCCAGCUUUAGAUAGCUUUGGUGCACCAUCACAGAGUGAUGCUUUAAAGUCUGCUUUAAACCAUUUGACACUCAUUUUGAUGUGAAUCUCUGUGGCUUGGGGGGAAAGUCUGUAAACAUUAAUGGUUGAUUUGGGGUUUGUCUUUAAUGGUUUCUAUUUGCAGUUCUUGUCAUGUAUAUUUAAGUGUCUGUUAGAGAAACUCCACAGCCACUGUCCUGUAAACUUUGCUCAGUGUCCAGAUUUUGUGUAAUCACAUUUUAAUUGACACCCUGUAUUUUGAUUCGACAUUUGAGAUCUGGCAUCUAUUUUGAGUCAGUGAUUUUUUUUGUUGGAUUUUUUUUUCUUUUUCUUUUUUUCUUUUUCUCUUUGUUCUGUAAUAAACAGCCAGGAGAAAAGUG
Molecule: RNA transcript, 5992 nt
Organism: Mus musculus (house mouse)
Lineage: Eukaryota; Metazoa; Chordata; Mammalia; Rodentia; Muridae
Gene: Mamld1
Gene name: mastermind-like domain containing 1
Exons: 7
Source: RefSeq, marked validated